Gasterosteus aculeatus aculeatus (three-spined stickleback) is the source of this 1020-nucleotide long non-coding RNA. The record is from Ensembl. Lineage: Eukaryota; Metazoa; Chordata; Actinopteri; Perciformes; Gasterosteidae.
CUGCGGGUGCUAAUUUUAAAGUGCUGCUCCUCACAUGCAAGAUGACAUCGUCAGGCUCCACUUCCCCAAAUGAGACGCAUCGCCGCUUAGAUGCUGCCAGCGUUUCCCCUCCGGUGAUCCGUUUACACACAAAGAACUCUGAACUUCCUGCAGACGGAAAGUGAGUAGAGACCUCAGGACGAGGCUGCGUGUUCAGCAGAGACGCUCAUAGUUAUUACUGCAUUCGUCACCGAGGGGAUGUACACAGCUCGCUGUGUGCAGACGUAUCGGCACAAAACCACAAGGAGGCACUCGUAGUAGCCGUGAGGUACUCAGAUAUACUCGUAGUAGCCGUGAGGUACUCAGAUAUACUCGUAGUAGCCGUGAGGUACUCAGAUGUACUCGUAGUAGCCGUGAGGUACUCAGAUAUACUCGUAGUAGCCGUGAGGUACUCAGAUAUACUCGUAGUAGCCGUGAGGUACUCAGAUAUACUCGUAGUAGUUGUGAGGUACUCAGCAGGUAGUUAUGUUUCCAUUAGGCAAAUGAACAGUAACAGUGAACAAGCUGCUUUCUGCUUAGCGUGGGCACAGAGCGGGGGGGGGUUCGAGAGGGCAACUACCCAGUGGGGGUAUUAAGCAACAGGUACCCGGAGUCUGAGGGGUUUGCUGCAGUAGAAUGAGCGUUUCUUACAGUCCAAUAACUUAUUUGACUAAACACGAGGAGGGAAUCUCAGCAGCAAAGUUCACAAAGUCUUUCGUUUUUUUCUCCUCUUCAGCCAAUCAGCGAUCGUAGCGCCGCCACCAUCGCGAGCCCCGCGCUCAGCCCCGCCCACGAGGGUCCGGUGUUGGCCCCGCCUCCGUCCAGGCGCAGAGUGUUGUUGCAGGGUGGGGUUAGGUUUGCCGAGGUGGGGCGGAGCGGGACCCCGCCGGCGGUGGCGGGGACGCGGCGUAACAGGAAGUCGUGUUUCAUGGCAGAGUAGCGAUCGGGGCCGUACGGCACGCUCAGCGUCUCCGUCAAAACCUCGUGACCCGGGUACGUCAC